RNAcentral lists this ribosomal RNA (484 nucleotides) under uncultured bacterium. RNAcentral describes it as "partial 16S ribosomal RNA". It matches the Rfam family "Bacterial small subunit ribosomal RNA", at positions 28 to 507 of the family's 1533-position model. The record is from RNAcentral.
AUUGAACGCUGGCGGCAUGCUUUACACAUGCAAGUCGAACGGCAGCGCGGGCUUCGGCCUGGCUGCGAGUGGCGAACGGGUGAGUAAUGCAUCGGAACGUGCCCAGUAGUGGGGGAUAGCCCGGCCACAGCCGGAUUCAUACCCCAUACGACCUGACGGUGAACGCGGGGGACCGAAAGGCCUCCCGCUCUUGGAGCGGCCGAUGUCGGAUUAGCUAGUUGGUGGGGUAAAGGCUUACCAAGGCGACGAUCCGUAGCUGGUCUGAGAGGACGACCAGCCACACUGGGACUGAGACACGGCCCAGACUCCUACGGGAGGCAGCAGUGGGGAAUUUUGGACAAUGGGGGCAAGCCUGAUCCAGCCAUGCCGCGUGCGGGAAGAAGGCCUUCGGGUUGUAAAGCGCGUUUGUUCGGGAAGAAAUCCUCUGGGCUAAUACCCCGGGGGGAUGACGGUACCGGAAGAAUAAGCACCGGCUAACUACGUG